RNAcentral lists this ribosomal RNA (274 nucleotides) under uncultured bacterium. RNAcentral describes it as "partial 16S ribosomal RNA". It matches the Rfam family "Bacterial small subunit ribosomal RNA", at positions 70 to 339 of the family's 1533-position model. The record is from RNAcentral.
CAUGAACUUAGCUUGCUGAGUUUGAUGGCGACCGGCGCACGGGUGAGUAACACGUAUCCAACCUGCCGAUGACUCGGGGAUAGCCUUUCGAAAGAAAGAUUAAUACCCGAUGGCAUAGUUCUUCCGCAUGGUAGAACUAUUAAAGAAUUUCGGUCAUCGAUGGGGAUGCGUUCCAUUAGGUUGUUGGCAGGGCAACGGCCUACCAAGGCGACGAUCAGUAGCCGACCUGAGAGGGUGAACGGCCACAUUGGGACUGAGACACGGUCCAAACUCC